This 440-nucleotide ribosomal RNA is filed under the name uncultured bacterium. RNAcentral describes it as "partial 16S ribosomal RNA". It matches the Rfam family "Bacterial small subunit ribosomal RNA", at positions 338 to 795 of the family's 1533-position model. The record is from RNAcentral.
CCUACGGGUGGCAGCAGUGGGGAAUAUUGCACAAUGGGGGAAACCCUGAUGCAGCGACGCCGCGUGAGUGAAGAAGUCAUUCGUUAUGUAAAGCUCUAUCAGUAGGGAAGAAAAUGACGGUACCUGAGUAAGCAGCCCCGGCCAACUACGUUCCAGCCGCCGCGGUAAUACGUAGGGGGCAAGCGUUAUCCGGAUUUACUGGGGGUAAAGGGAGCGUAGACGGCAGUGCAAGUCUGGAGUGAAAGGCGGGGGCUCAACCCCUGGACUGCUCUGGAAACUGUACGGCUGGAGUGCAGGAGAGGUAGGUGGAAUUCCUAGUGUAGCGGUGAAAUGCGUAGAUAUUAGGAGGAACACCAGUGGCGAAGGCGGCUAACUGGGCUGUAACUGACGUUGAGGCUCGAAAGCGUGGGGAGCAAACAGGAUUAGAUACCCGGGUAGUC